Molecule: non-coding RNA, 25 nt
Filed under: Rattus norvegicus (Norway rat)
Lineage: Eukaryota; Metazoa; Chordata; Mammalia; Rodentia; Muridae
Source: RNAcentral
UGCAAGAAGACAAGGUUACCCAGCA